RNAcentral lists this long non-coding RNA (359 nucleotides) under Mytilus galloprovincialis (Mediterranean mussel). The record is from RNAcentral. Lineage: Eukaryota; Metazoa; Mollusca; Bivalvia; Mytilida; Mytilidae.
GUCGGAGGGGAGUGGGUUUAAGGCCUGCAUUUUUCUAAGAUAAUCGGUUGUAUCUUUGAUGUGAGAUGGUAAGUCUUCAACAUGUUGACGAAGAUGGAAGUCAACAAAUUCCGAUAUUUUUUCCGUCGGAUGACCGUUCGCUGAAACUAUAGGUCUUCCUGGGUUAUUGGCCUUAUGAAUUUUAGGUAAUAGAUAAAAUCUGCCCGGUUUUGGGUUUUCUGGUUUCAAAUAUUCAAGAGUUUUGUCAUCGAUGAAACCAUCGUCAUGCAUUUCUACCAAACUAUUAGUAAUAUCUCUGCUAAAAGAUGUAGUAGGAUCAGAGUCUAGUUUUUGGUAGAACCUUGCAUCGCUAAGUUGUC